This is a non-coding RNA of Pelobates cultripes (western spadefoot toad), 352 nucleotides long. The record is from the annotation of a GenBank genome assembly. Lineage: Eukaryota; Metazoa; Chordata; Amphibia; Anura; Pelobatidae.
GAAACCAGUCUCCACCGCCAUUGUGUCUUCGAAGGUGGGGUAAGCUAUUGCAACCAUGUCUCUAAGAGUCUUAAUAUGUGGUUUAAGAGGAUUGACAGUCAUGUGUUGUGUGUCUACCUAUUCAGGUGAGUUGUACAUGUCUUGUAAGUAAAAUGUGCCUAAUGUGUUAUAUGAACCACCCCCUUCCAAUACAUACCCAUAACAUAUUCCCCAGCAUCCCCAGGACUAGGAUGUUCAAUAUUCAGGAUUAAUUUUAUAGGGGUUGAUCCUGUCGGUUUACGUAUAGUCAUCCUGUCUGAGUGAUUUCCCAGUUCUGUCCAAUUUUUGUAAGGCACUCUGUGGUCUAUAACCC